GUCUUCUUAUUCCUUACACAAAGACUUACAAAAAAAAAAAACCUCGAACCUAAUAUACAAAAGGGAGCAGCCAUCUUCACGAAGAAGGGAACACACUAGCGGAACCCUAGAACCCCAUACCUAGACAGCCGCCGCCCACCACUUGAAGCCGCCGCGCCAGAAACCAAACUCGCCGGAAAAACGCACACAGCCCUCCCUAAUCUCCCAUCUUCUCCACAUCUCCAAGCCCCAUCGCCCACCCCAUCUCUCGCACACAAGACGUAAGACCAAAAUCUGAAGAUCACAAGACAAACCCUCCACCUAAAAUGAACCAGUCGUCGCUCUUCUAUACACCACCACAGCCGCCGCUCCCUUACCGCCAAGCACUGGAAUACGGCGAGUUAGCAACCACCAGCACCGCUGCUGUCUCUCUUCCCUCGUUGCUGUCGCGUGCCACUCCCUUCUUCUCACAGUCGCUACUCCGUUUAGUUGCUGAAGUAGUGUUCUUAGGAAUGACUGUCUCAGACAGGCGUGGCUUUGUUUGUGUGUGCUUUCGUCGGAAAAUGCUUUUUCAGUGAUUUGCUAUGCUCUACUACCCCGUUUAUUAUCUUCUGGAUACGCUGUGCUUUGGUUGAAUUUUUCAGCGAUUUGCAUCUUCUCGUUCUGUUCCCGUCGUUCUUUUUUGGGAAAUACUGUCGUUGCUCCUUUGAGACCAUCUUCAGUCAUUAAUUGGUGUUUUAAUUUCUGUUGAGUUCCGAGUUCGUCGAAAGUCGUAGUCCGAGGUUUCCGGGCAGAUUCGCGGUUCCUGCUCGAGCUUCAAGUUCUGUAUUUGUUCGUGGUUGUGUUAUCUACCGGAGGUCAUUUUCAUAUUUGUUCGUUCAAGCCAAGAAAAGUUAAUUAACAGAAGUCAUCUUUUGAGGUACCCGUUAUGGUGCUAGUUUGAGGAAGUAGAUUAAGAAGAUGGAGGUCAGCCAGCAUAGCAAGUAUUUCUGUGAGUUCUGUGGAAAGUACGCUGGGAAGAGGAAGGCUGAUGGUAUUUGGGGUUGCAAAGAUUGUGGCAAAGUCAAAGCAGGGGGUGCCUACACAUUGAAGUAAUUUUUAUCUAAAACUUUAGCUAAACAUGCUGAAUUCAGCAAAUAUAGAAUAAAACUCCAGCUAGUAGAAUGCUUAAGUUCAGCAAUUACAAAUAAAAACUUUAGCCAACACUAAGUUUACGCGAAAAACUUAAGCUAAAACAUGUUGAAGUUCAGCAUAGGGCUGGGCAUAUAUUGGGUAAAACCGAUAACUCGAACUAUUAAUUGUUUAUUGAGUUAUCAGUAUCGAAUUAUUGGGUUAA
Non-coding RNA from Nicotiana tabacum (common tobacco), 1315 nucleotides. The record is from RefSeq and is a predicted model, not a curated record. NCBI's taxonomy places the organism in Eukaryota, Viridiplantae, Streptophyta, Magnoliopsida, Solanales, Solanaceae.